Gasterosteus aculeatus aculeatus (three-spined stickleback) is the source of this 1324-nucleotide long non-coding RNA. The record is from Ensembl. NCBI's taxonomy places the organism in Eukaryota, Metazoa, Chordata, Actinopteri, Perciformes, Gasterosteidae.
GGGCCUCACUGGUGAUCCUGUUUGGUGAUGGUGUCCCUUCGUGUGUAGUGUCUUAUUCACUCCCCUCCUUUGUUUUGCUUUGCCCUUGUGUGUUUGGAGUGUUAAUUUUGGAUUGUGGUGCUCCCAUUUUAAGUUUAUACUUUCACCCCUCACUCACCUUGAGCACAAAUGCCCCAGCCCUGGAAUACAUGAUAAUUUAUACAAAUAGGAUAACUUUUUUAGAUUUGAAUUGUGCCCAAUAAACUGUUGUAUAUGCUUUUGGAAACACGUCUCUCGCCUGCUCAGUGUAACGAACUUGUGUCGUCCUUUUGUUUAGAUUUAGUAAUUUACCUUAUUCAUAGAUUUCUUUCUUUUCCCUGGGUGAUUUCUCCCAGGGUGGCGUUGCUGGUUUCCUUUAGUUUCUUUCUUUUUCCCCUAGUUAAAAACCAUAGAUUAUUGGGGUAGUUCCUACCCCACCUCACGCUUGCCACAAACUUGGCGUUGCUGGCAGGACUUAUACUGAAAAAAAAAAGGCAGAGACGUGUGUUCCUUUGUUUUUGUUGUUUGUUUUUUGUUUUUUUGAAUAAGACAAAGCAGCAGCAGUCCCCUGGCAACCAUGGAGGAAGAAAUGCAAGAGUUGCGAGCUCUGGUUGCGCAGUUAAAGGCUGACAAUGAGAGGUUGCGUCAAGCUUCGUUGGUGCCGCCCUCUAGUGCUACACCUUCAACCUCCUCAGUACUGCCGACUGCCCUUACUUCUGCCAGUGCCCCUGCAGCCGAGAGGCCCCACAACCUGUCACGCAGGCAUUACAGGAGUACCAUCAGGUGACCACGCAGACCUCCCAGGAGCUGUCUGGGAAGGCAAAGGUCAGAGGAAUCGCAGAGGUCCCAUCCACUGUAGCCAUUGUAGCUUCUCACACCGCCUUACCUACCGUGCCAGACCAGAUUGAGGGUUUAGAUCUGUCUUCUCUUUCCCCUGAAGAGCAAGGUCAGACGAGACCCCAGUCACGCAACGCUACAGGCGUGUAUCCCCUUCUGAUUAUGAGGCUGUCAAAGACCACAUUAAUCAGCUUCUUUCUGCUCAGGUGCUGAGGGCCUCACUGGUGAUCCUGUUUGGUGAUGGUGUCCCUUCGUGUGUAGUGUCUUAUUCACUCCCCUCCUUUGUUUUGCUUUGCCCUUGUGUGUUUGGAGUGUUAAUUUUGGAUUGUGGUGCUCCCAUUUUAAGUUUAUACUUUCACCCCUCACUCACCUUGAGCACAAAUGCCCCAGCCCUGGAAUACAUGAUAAUUUAUACAAAUAGGAUAACUUUUUUAGAUUUGAAUUGUGCCCAAUAAACUGUUGUAUAUGC